This 897-nucleotide ribosomal RNA is filed under the name Escherichia coli. RNAcentral's name for it is "partial 23S ribosomal RNA". It matches the Rfam family "Bacterial large subunit ribosomal RNA", at positions 648 to 1548 of the family's 2925-position model. Lineage: Bacteria; Pseudomonadati; Pseudomonadota; Gammaproteobacteria; Enterobacterales; Enterobacteriaceae. The record is from RNAcentral.
AACCGAAUAGGGGAGCCGAAGGGAAACCGAGUCUUAACUGGGCGUUAAGUUGCAGGGUAUAGACCCGAAACCCGGUGAUCUAGCCAUGGGCAGGUUGAAGGUUGGGUAACACUAACUGGAGGACCGAACCGACUAAUGUUGAAAAAUUAGCGGAUGACUUGUGGCUGGGGGUGAAAGGCCAAUCAAACCGGGAGAUAGCUGGUUCUCCCCGAAAGCUAUUUAGGUAGCGCCUCGUGAAUUCAUCUCCGGGGGUAGAGCACUGUUUCGGCAAGGGGGUCAUCCCGACUUACCAACCCGAUGCAAACUGCGAAUACCGGAGAAUGUUAUCACGGGAGACACACGGCGGGUGCUAACGUCCGUCGUGAAGAGGGAAACAACCCAGACCGCCAGCUAAGGUCCCAAAGUCAUGGUUAAGUGGGAAACGAUGUGGGAAGGCCCAGACAGCCAGGAUGUUGGCUUAGAAGCAGCCAUCAUUUAAAGAAAGCGUAAUAGCUCACUGGUCGAGUCGGCCUGCGCGGAAGAUGUAACGGGGCUAAACCAUGCACCGAAGCUGCGGCAGCGACGCUUAUGCGUUGUUGGGUAGGGGAGCGUUCUGUAAGCCUGUGAAGGUGUACUGUGAGGUAUGCUGGAGGUAUCAGAAGUGCGAAUGCUGACAUAAGUAACGAUAAAGCGGGUGAAAAGCCCGCUCGCCGGAAGACCAAGGGUUCCUGUCCAACGUUAAUCGGGGCAGGGUGAGUCGACCCCUAAGGCGAGGCCGAAAGGCGUAGUCGAUGGGAAACAGGUUAAUAUUCCUGUACUUGGUGUUACUGCGAAGGGGGGACGGAGAAGGCUAUGUUGGCCGGGCGACGGUUGUCCCGGUUUAAGCGUGUAGGCUGGUUUUCCAGGCAAAUCCGGAAA